Molecule: long non-coding RNA, 928 nt
Organism: Malania oleifera
Lineage: Eukaryota; Viridiplantae; Streptophyta; Magnoliopsida; Santalales; Ximeniaceae
Exons: 2
Source: RefSeq, a predicted model, not a curated record
GGGAAGGGGCCUAGAGUGACACAUUUUGAUUUUUUAUUUUCCGUUUCUUUUCUUUCCCUUUCUCAUUGCUCUCGCUCCUCUCACUCUUUCUCUCUUUAGAACCGAGGGUUCUCUACUCUUUGUCUGCCACCACAUUCCGGCGUGCUCAGUCGCCGUCAGUGCCAAAGCUGCUCCAGCCAGCCACUUUAUUCAGACCCCUGCAAAGAAGACAUGCUCCCCACCCGCAACCAAGCUCCGCCGGGCUCCUCCAGCAAAGGCGGUCAAGACCACCUCUCUCUCACUUAUGUUUAAUCCGUUCUCCUGAUGUCUCAAUCUCUCUUCCCUGUCUCCUCCUCUCUUAAACACUUUUUCUUCUCUUAUCUUUUCUUUUCAAUACUCUUCUUCUCUUUUCUCGUCAAACAAACAAGUAGGACCUAGGGCUCGAGUGUGGUUUAACUUAACCAGGGUUCGAGUUUGAUUCGGGUUUGGUUACAUGUGGGUUAGGUUUGACCAGAAUUCAAGGGUGAGUCUUGGUCAGCCGUCAGGGUAUGAUUUGAUCGGGUUUUGGGUUGAACCAAAUGGGUCGACCUAAUUGCUCUUCGGUUUGGGUCUUUGGUCAACCCUAGUUCAAAAUGGAUUCGGGUCCUGGGUUUACCCGGUUGAAAUUGGAUCCAGAUCUUGGGUUGACCCAGUGGGUGUUCAGACCUUGGGUCAGGGUAUUAUUUAACUGAGUUUUGGGUUGACCCGAAUGGGUUGAUCCCAAUUAUUCUUCGGAUCUGGGUCUGGGUCUGGGUCUGGCUGAACUCCUCCUUCUUUGGCCACUAUGAAGCGCGAGGCUUUUUGUGAGUGAGAUCUUGUCUUUUUCUUUGGUCCCAUUUUCUUAGAUUGUACUCCAUAAGAUAUGAAAUAUUUUGGGUUGAUUUGGGCUUUCUCACCCUACUCCAUCUUU